UUGCUUCAGAUUAGAAACAAUACAGAAAAGAUUAGCAUGGCCCCUUUGCAAAGAUGACACAAACAUUUAUGAAGCAUUCCGUAUUUUU
This 88-nucleotide small nuclear RNA is filed under the name Mus pahari (shrew mouse). The record is from RNAcentral. Lineage: Eukaryota; Metazoa; Chordata; Mammalia; Rodentia; Muridae.